CGCACGAAGAACAGAGAAAAGACUGUAGGAGUCAUAUCUACCACAGCUAUUCAGCUUCAGACUCUAUUGUCGAGAUGAAGCUCUUUUAUUGAUAGUCGGCUUAUUUGACUCGGUCGAAGCUUCACUUUUCUUUUGUUUCUUCUUUUGACCUUUUUCGUCUGUCUGGCAUCGAUCAGAAGUAGCUUCAUCCGUACGAAUGUACUUG
Molecule: long non-coding RNA, 205 nt
Filed under: Elaeis guineensis (African oil palm)
Lineage: Eukaryota; Viridiplantae; Streptophyta; Magnoliopsida; Arecales; Arecaceae
Description: long non-coding RNA (EGUI_LNC029992)
Source: RNAcentral